RNAcentral lists this ribosomal RNA (972 nucleotides) under human gut metagenome. Its description in RNAcentral is "bacterial LSU rRNA". It matches the Rfam family "Bacterial large subunit ribosomal RNA", at positions 1954 to 2925 of the family's 2925-position model. The record is from RNAcentral.
AGGUAGCGAAAUUCCUUGUCGGGUAAGUUCCGACCCGCACGAAAGGUGUAACGAUCUGGGCACUGUCUCGACCAUAGACUCGGUGAAAUUUUAAUACCUGUGAAAAUGCAGGUUACCCGCGACAGGACGGAAAGACCCCGUGGAGCUUUACUACAGCUUGAUAUUGGAAUUUGGUUUAUUAUGUAGAGAAUAGGUGGGAGACUUUGAAAUUAGGACGCCAGUCCUAAUGGAGUCACCUUUGGAAUACCACCCUUAAUAAGCUGGAUUUCUAACCUGGUAUCGUGAAUCCGGUAUAGGGACAGUGUCUGGUGGGUAGUUUGACUGGGGCGGUCGCCUCCUAAAGAGUAACGGAGGCGCUCAAAGGUUCCCUCAGAAUGGUUGGAAAUCAUUCGAAGAGUGUAAAGGUAUAAGGGAGCUUGACUGCGAGACCAACAAGUCGAGCAGGUGCGAAAGCAGGACUUAGUGAUCAGGCGAUUCAGUAUGGAAUGGUCGUCGCUUAACGGAUAAAAGUUACCCUGGGGAUAACAGGCUGAUACCACCCAAUAGUUCACAUAGACGGUGGUGAUUGGCACCUCGAUGUCGGCUCGUCACAUCCUGGAGCUGGAUUCGGUUCCAAGGGUUGGGCUGUUCGCCCAUUAAAGUGGCACGCGAGCUGGGUUCAGAACGUCGUGAGACAGUUCGGUCCCUAUCCGUCGUGGGCGUAGGAAAAUUGAGGAGAGCUGUUCCUAGUACGAGAGGACCGGAAUGGACCUACCUCUGGUGUAUCUGUUGUCACGCCAGUGGCAGUGCAGAGUAGCUAUGUAGGGAAUGGAUAACCGCUGAAAGCAUCUAAGCGGGAAGCCAACUUCAAGAUGAGUUUUCCCAUUUUUUAUAAAGUAAGAUCCCAGAAAGACUAUCUGGUUGAUAGGCUAGAGGUGGAAGCAUGGUGACAUGUUGAGCUGACUAGUACUAAUAGAUCGAGGAUUUAAUCCU